GUCUGAGUCCAUGCUGCAGAGGGUGCUGCACUUGAUAGGCAUGGCUCUGCUGGAGGAGCAGCAACAGCUAGAGAACAUUGGGGAUGACGAUGAAGUUACUUUCAACUUCACCCUCAAAAUCUCCCCGUGUAUGAAGCAGUGCUGCACGGAGCAGAUGACGGAAUGUCUGGACUGGAUUAUGGCUGAAUGUAAGAAUUUGUAUUCAAAAUUUCUGCAGAGUAUGGCGAUCUCCUUCAUACAGAAGUCAGAUGGUUGAGUAGGAGUAAAGUACUUCACCGUUUUAUUUCCUUGGUGAGUGAAAUUACGGCUUUAAUGGAACUGGGGGGGGGGCGACACUAACCUGUUGUCUGAUGGCUGCUUGAUCUUGCAUUCUUGGCUGAUGUGACAGAGAAACUGAAUCAGCUCAAUCUUCAGUUACAAGGUAAAGACAAAACCAUAUGUGAUAUGAUCAGUGCUGUGAAGGUAUUUAA
Long non-coding RNA from Ictalurus punctatus (channel catfish), 470 nucleotides. NCBI's taxonomy places the organism in Eukaryota, Metazoa, Chordata, Actinopteri, Siluriformes, Ictaluridae. The record is from Ensembl.